This is an RNA transcript of Gallus gallus (chicken), 9443 nucleotides long. It is a transcript of the gene named TUB like protein 3, with no coding region annotated. The record is from RefSeq and is marked validated. Lineage: Eukaryota; Metazoa; Chordata; Aves; Galliformes; Phasianidae. The transcript is spliced from 13 exons.
GCCCGUUGAGGGGGCGCAGCGGCCGGUUGUGGGGCGGUGUGCUUUGCCUUUGGCCAAUGGCGUAGGACUUCAGUUACGAGUUCCGCUGCGGUGAGGCCGAGGCAGGGUGCGUCGGCCGAGGUCCUAUAGUAAAGGCGGGGCUGAGGAUGGAGGGCGCAAGGAGCCGAUGCGUGCUCAGUGGGGGCAGCAUCUUUGAGGAUGAAGGCAUGAAGCUACGACAGCUGAAACUAGAGAAUCAGAGAGCUCUUCUAGAGAAAAAGCAGAAGAAGAAACGUCUUGAUCCCUUGAUGGUACAGCCAAAUCCCGAGGCAAAGCUGCACAGGUCAAAGCCCAAAGGGUUUGAGGAGCAGACUCCUUUAGUAGAAACUCCUACCACUUUCCACAGUGCUGUUGUGUUACAUGGCAUUGAUAGACCAGUUUCUUUCUUGAAAUCAGAAGUGCAAGAUUUAGGAAACAAACUCCAGACUUUCUCUGUUGGAUCUUCCAUAACAGCAGAAAAUGCAGAUGAGGAAAACAAUGGACAUGUUCUAACAGAAACAUUACGCAAUGCACAUCUGCAAGAAAUCUUACAGAAGCGAGGAAUUUCAGGCAGUUUGAAUUUUGAUGAGGAGGACACGGAAGAAGAGGAAGAAGUAAGUAAGAGACCAGCAUCUCAGUCACCACAUCCUGAAUCUGAGAGGCCUAGUUCUGCAACCAUCAAGAAAUCCUUUGCAGAAAUAGGUGCUUCCUGUAGUCCAUCCCACCAGACGGUUGCACAUCUGGGAGAAGUAGAGAACUUGGAGGAAUUUGCAUUGCGCCCUGCGCCCCAUGGUAUUACAGUCAAGUGUCGAAUCACUAGAGAUAAGAAGGGAAUGGACCGGGGCCUCUUCCCUACCUAUUACAUGCAUCUGGAAAAGGAUAACAACAGAAAGAUGUUUCUUCUUGCAGGUAGAAAACGAAAAAAGAGCAAAACAUCCAAUUAUAUCAUAUCUGUUGACCCAACUGAUUUAUCCCGGGAAGGGGAGAGUUUCAUUGGAAAACUCAGGUCAAACCUCAUGGGAACUAAAUUUACAGUCUAUGACCAUGGAGUUAGCCCAAUCAAGGCACAAGGUGAAGUAGAAAAGGCUCAUACUCGACAAGAACUUGCAGCUGUUUAUUAUGAAACCAAUGUGUUAGGAUUCAAAGGUCCCAGAAAAAUGUCUGUGAUCAUUCCAGGAAUGAAUAUGCAUCAUAAGCGAAUUCCAGUCCAGCCACGAAAUGAAAAUGAGAGUCUUCUGUCAAAAUGGCAAACCAAAGAUUUAGAGAACCUCAUUGAGUUGCACAACAAGGCUCCAGUCUGGAAUGAUGAUACUCAGUCCUAUGUUUUGAAUUUCCAUGGGAGAGUCACUCAGGCAUCAGUGAAGAACUUCCAGAUUGUCCACGACAAUGACCAUGUCGUUCUCUAUUGAAGAGUCAUCCUCUUUACCCGUGGCUACAGUCAAAGAAGAGAGCCAAUGUGAUGAAGGAUUUUUUUCCCCAACACAUUCUCUGAAGGAGAACAACUGUCAGCCUGGUGAUGAACCAUGUUCUUUCCCUGAGACACUCUGUAUUAAGGAAGAGGAAGGCUUACAGCUGGGAGACUGGCUGUCCCCUUUUGCUUCAACCGUAACUGUAAAGGAAGAGCCAGACUCAUUUGUCCCAGUCUCAGCCGUGAUGGAGAAGAAAUGUUUCACCAUACUGAAGUCACCAUCUAAGGGUGUUUCUGACGCAUUAGUUAUAAAGAGGUGUGAGAGGCGGGAAAUGAGCAGAUCCAGAAGGAAACAACACCUAGCACUGCCUUGCUCAGAAGAGCCUGUCCUUAUCUUCCCAGAGAGCAAUGAAUUUGAUCCUUUCCAGUUAGGGGCAGACCUCCCCUUACUGCAGGAAAACCAGCCUCUAGAGAAUGCAUCACAGCUGAGAUGCCUGCAGGAGGAAAGGGGGCCUUUUAAAACACCAGUCAAAGAGAUGUUCAGCAAAUUGCCAGUUUCUUCCACUCCCUGCAAAGUCCCAGCAACUACUACUCCCCCACUAGGGGGCCUUGAUCCCUGGAAGUCUGCACUGUCAGCCAAGAGAGGUAAUGAGCUGGAUUUCAGUCCAGUGAGAACCCUUCCGCUGCCGUUCACACCCUGCCAGGAGAACCAGGACUUGCUGGGUUUUAACAGCACACCCCUUAAAAGUCCUCUCCCUGAGUCUUCUUGGGAACUGCUCAAUACAGAAUCCAACGACACAGUACACAGCCCCCUCACAAGCUCUCCAUCUUUUAGUCACAAAUCUACGAAGCAGUUGUCCCUUGAACUGCCAGCCUCUGGUUUUACUGAAAACCGAUCACUCGUGGAGGGCCUGAUUUUGGACACCAUGAAUGACAGUUUGAGCAAAAUCCUUUUAGAUAUCAGCUUUCCUGGUCUUGAGGAUGAAAACUUAGGAACAGACAUUAGUUGGUCUCAGCUUAUACCUGAACUGAAGUAAACUGCCCAGAAGACUGAAUUUGGUUUAUUUGGACUUGACAGAAAGCACUCUCCUCUUCUGAGAUCUGUUCACGUAGUCAAAAGCAGACAGUCUUUUUAGACAAUUCCUUCAUUCGUGGAAAUAUUGACUCCUGCUAAGCUGGGAGACGGGCCUGUUGGCUGCUAUGAGCUGCCUUUUUGAGCUGCAGUGGACUAUUUGUGUGGAUCAAGAUAGAACCUCUCUAAUCUGGUGCUAGAGUGGAGAGUCCCUGGAGAGGGGUUAUCAGGAAAGCAUCUAGAUAGGCCCUGAACAGCCCUGGCUAAUCAAGGUAUUAGAGGAAACGGGUACACUCCUCAAUUAUGCCCCCCAAUAGCAAGGGCUCUGAGCAUUUCCUCCUUCUCUGUCCUUACUUUCUUUUACUUUGUUCUGAUCUUAUUUAGCAUCUUCUGUGUAGGUUUAAUGGAUUUAAGCCCCGUACAUUCCUUAAAUUACUAGCUCUUUAUUAUAACGGUAACUUUAUUCUUGUAGAGUUAUUAGGGAAAUAUUUGAGUUGGUAAAGGAUUUAGCUUAGUGUUGUCCAUAUGUUCCGCCUGCCCUGUAUUCCUCUAGAUGAGAGCCCCAAAUGCCAUUUUCUUUUAGUCCAAAAACACACUGGCCUUGAAAGUUGCCAAGGCAGAAAUCUGAAAAAUCGUCUAUGUGUGACUGAGUGACUACUCAAGCUAAACAGAAAAAAAAUUGUUAACUGGAUUGCAGCAUAAAAUCUUGGUUCAUUUUUCCUUCUCAGCUCUUCUUCCCUUCCCAGGCUGGAAUGGAGAAGAGCUGUAACUCUUGGUUCCACAGUCCUAUUAAUAUGUAUGUAUAGGACUUGGUAGAGUCACAGUUGCAGUAAGAUGGAUUUCUACAGAAUGGUUAAAGCAGCUUUCUUUUCAGACAUCAGCUGAAAAUGUGAAACAGAACCUGUAAAGUGAAUACUGGUAUUUUCACUGACAAGUGACCUCUGGGAACAAAAGGUAUGUUUCUCCCAUUGCAAUAGAGCUACUCUUCCCAGUUCUUUAGAACUCACCUCAAAGGAGGAAGUGGCUGUGAAAAGACCUAAUCAUUCUGCUUCCAGACAAGUGAUGACUCAUGCAUCUACAUACUCAAUAAAUUUUUUUGCGGGAGCGCAGUUGAGUAUCAUCUUUACUGCAGCCACUUUUAGCGAUGUGCUUUGGCUGGACCACAGCAUGAACAAAUGCUUUUUUGCUUGCCUUGACGUGGGCUUUAGCCUUGGAUCUUAGUUCUGGGAAAAGAGGCAGGUUGCUGUGGGAGGGGAGAGUAUCAGUGGGAAGAUGAUGUGUUUAGUACAAAUCUGCAUUUCUAAGAACCGCUCCAUACAUCGGUGCUGCUUUGCAAGAAAGGGCUGUUCAUACGGUAGUUUCAGUAGCAGGCUAACCAACCACAGCCACGAUCUGGGCAAACUUCAAUUCAUGUAUCAGUAUUUACAAGACAUCAGUAGAAACACCUUACCUCAGAAGUUUCCCCAGAUCUUAGUGAUCUUUCUUGGUGCUGUGCCAAGGACAGUCCCUGAAAGUCUCUUACUGCCUGAUGUCAGUAAGUUAUCAUGAAAUUUUCUUUUACCUCAGGCAACAUAAUUUCUUGGAAUCUCUUUGUCCUACCUGAAGCACUGAGGGGAGGAUUGAAAUUCCUUUAAGCAGUCAUAGAGCGUGAAAAGGUAUAAGAAAUGAAAAAGGAAUAGAGAGGCCAAGCACGUCCUUCAGGCUUUUCACCCACUGCUGUAUCACAAGAAGCUCCACUAGAGAUGCUGAGGGAAAGUGCACUAAGUUGAAUCCUCUGUUUUGGAAUUCAGGAUAUGCCUAAUGCAUGUCUGAUCUCUGGUCUGUCUUACACAGUGAUUUGGUACAAAACAUGCAGCAAAUCCACUUCUGAUGGGUAGAGAACUACAGACUCUGAUGUUGUGGGCCCACAUAAUAAAAUGGGAGGCAUUACUUUUGGAGCAGCCCGUGUGUGUGUCAAAGAAAUGAUGGACAGUGCAGUUGCUCACCACCUGCUGACUGAUGCCUAGCCAGUCACCUGAGCAAUGGCAGGUGCCUAUCACAGCUGAAACCAGGACAAUAUCCACUCUUAUUCCAUACCAUUUACAUCGUGCUCUCAGGUCCCAUGCUUGCCAACAUACCCUGGUUAAUCACCACCACCUUUGCUUGGCUCCAUGAAAAUUCAUCAAAAUCUUCCAUCAAAAUCUGUGUAACUUAGUGAAGUAAUAUUGAAACAGCAACCACAGUAGUGUUGACAUACAAUAUUCUAUAGCAAUUAACAUAUGAGCGCGUCUCCAAAAGUAAUGCCUCCUAUUUUAUUAUGUUGGCCCAUGAUGUCUGAGGCAGAUGGUGGUGGUAUGGCAGUAGAGGUUGAACCUUCCCACUAAUAUUCCAUUACAUUUUGUUGCUGUGUGACGGAUGGAAGCUUAGGGGCAGUCUGGCAAAAUGGCGUCAGACGUGCACGUGCGCAUGAAGCAAAGAUGUGGAACUGAACUCGUCCGUGCAGAAGAAAUUGCAGCCACUGACAUUCAUCGACGCUUCCUGAACGUUUAUAAGUAACAAAUAGUGGAUGUUAGUGCAGUGAAGCGGUGGGUGGUGUGUUUCAGCGGUGACAGCAACAGUGGGUCACCUCUGCUGGUGCAGAUAUUUACAAGUGCGGCACUCUCAUUCAUGGCUGGCAAAGGUGCAUAGCUAAUGGCAGUGACUGUUGAAAAAUACCGUUUUGUAGCUCUAUCACAUAUUGGGCUCUUCGUAUCUGUUGUAGUUUCCAUGGAAACAAAGAGGAGGCAUUACUUUUGAAGCAAGGAACAUACAAUUCAUAUCACUGGUUGUUCUCCCCCAGAAUCAAAUCCCCCUGAAGUACACAUCAGAAUUCCCCAUCCUGCCAUAUUACCCACAACAUCCACCCCAGUCCUUGAGCAAAAGUAGUCCCACAGAUAGGCUUGCCCAAACCAGGAGUAACUAACUCGACCUAUUUUCCCCAGCAUGUUCUUUAUUAUGUGCCCUAUGGGAACUUUGCCUGUUUCUACAGCACAUAGGGGUUUUGAUUAGGCAGUGUCAGCUCAAUUGGCAAAUCCUCUAGUGUUAACUAACAAAGUGGCCUUUGCUAAAUGUGUAUCUUAACACCCUCAGCUUCCAUGGGUGCUGUCAGUGGGUGCUGUCCCAGCACCUAUUGCUCUCAGAGUAGUGUUUAACAGUCCAUGGUAUCAUUCAAUUUUUUCCAUGAGCUGGUGUGAUAGGCUAUCAACAGUUUACAGGCUAGUUUGGCCCGGCUCCAUGACUAGCGGGGCAGGGGGACCCAUGCCCCAGGAAAGGGAAAAGGGUAAAAGGGUAGAGAGAUGGGCCUAAAACAAAAAGCAGCGGCAAUGAUCUGAGGAGAAACAAACUAAUUUACUAAAUGAGAUAUCAGAAUGCAAGAUAACACACUAUAAUACGGUAUAAUACAGUUGAAGCUAAUAAAUCAAAUAAAAUGAGAGUGUCCGAAAAGUCAAAGGCCUUAGUCUAAGCAAGCUGAGACAAUGUGCCUGGGAGCAGAGACGAGCCAGAAUCAAAAGGGGAGGUCAAGUGACGUACGAACAGUUUUCAUCUUUCCCUCUGAGCAAACAGUCCUCUGGGAGAUGUAGUUCUCUUCUGGGGUAGGUACCCGGAACUGGAGCAUUAACUCUUUAACUCCCAGUGCACUACAUGAUGUUAUGUGGAAUACCAAUAACAAAAAAUCAUAAAACCAUGACAUAGGAGAUGUGAUAUACCCAGUCAAUGCCAUGCUCUUUGGCCCAGGUGUCAUGAGACUUUUUUUCAUAAAUUAGUCCAGCUGUCAAAGUCAGCUCUUUCUUCGGUGCCCUCAGCUGUAAGUCUUGCUUCUGAAGGCCCGGGAUAGUGUUUCGGACAGUGGCAUGGGGCGUAGGAUGUGCUUUAGCCACCUGGUGGUUACUUCCACCAUUGUAAGCAUGUGUUGCUUACUGUAUCAGAUCUGUGGAAGUGUGAUAUCUAUCAGCUCACCCCGUAUUUAUAUUCCAGCCACAGUUCUACAUACCAGAGGGGCUUUAUCCACUUGGCUUCCUUGAUUGAAGCACAUUUUGCAUUUGUGGAUAAACUGUGCAAUAGUGUCCAUGGUCAAGACUUCCCCUCAAACAUUUACAUGUUUGAGCCCAUUUAUAUGUUGCAUCUUUUCCUAGGUGGCCUGACAUAUGAUGGACCUAUCAAGCUAUAAGUAAUUCAGCCUUAUGUUGCCAGUCCAGAUCUUCCUGAACCACUUCAAUUUCAGUAGCCUCUUUUGUAGCCUAUUUUGAUGUUCUUCAGUGGCCCAAUUCAGAUACAUGAGCAUCUACAUGAUGUGUCAGGCAGCAACAAUGGAAGGCCAUCUAGAUGGCCUUCACCUCUGCACAUUGGCUUGAUUCACUAAAUUCACUUGAUUCACUUGAUUUGCUAAAUGUGUCUCUCAGUGCUCUUAAAGUGUCCCUGCAUCCACUGCUCUCAGAGUAGUCUUUAACAGUCCAUUGCAUCAUUCAGUUUUUUCCAUGGGCUGGGGUAUGUCUUUUUCCAUAGUGACUGGAGAAUGAGAUGCUGGAGAGCAGCCUCACUGAAUAAGAUGUGAGGCUCAUGUGGCACACCAUGAUGAAUUCUUCCUCAAAAUGUUCUAAAUAAAAUUUAAGACACAAGAGACAACGGAGGCAGAUUUGUAGGGACACAGUAGGAAGGAGCUGGGUAAACCAAUUAGUACGUUAGCGUUUUAACUCAGUCGUCUAAAGAAAAUUUUCUUCAGGUCUCCUGAUAUGCAUAAUGGAUUUUGAAGUUGGGAGGGAUACUUCUGUGCAAAUAAUUUUUAUUUUUAAGUUAAUUCAAAUAAUUAAAAAUAAAAGGGAGAUAAAAAUAAUAAGGCAGAGAAAAAGUGCUACUAUUGUAAUAUUGCUUGAAGGAGGGAAUAGGUGAAUUCCCUUGGGUCGUUUUUGACUAUGAUCCGGCUUUCGCAGGUGUUAAUAACGGUCAAUUUCCAAAUGUUAAAACAAGAGAGGAGAAAGAAGACUAGCAUGGUAGAAGACUGAUCCACUGAUCAGAAAUGACCAGUGAGAAAAGAAAAUUUGUAAAAGACCAUGAAGGACCUUUGGGACUUAAUGGUGAAGAAGUGUUGUGUAUUUGCUGUUAUGAAGAAGAGAUGAGCAGUGUUGGCAAAAUGUGGAGAGAAGACAAAACAGAUAUUUGGGAAAACAACUCAGUGGCUCUUCUCUGGAUUGCUGUGAGCACAGUAGGCCAGAAAGGAGGAUUGAGGGUUCAGAAAUAGAUGUGUUAGGAGGGUAGCUUAAGCAAUGAAGUUGAUUGAUGGGAUAGGAAAAGAGAAACUAUGUAGUGAACAAGACCAGCUGUCAGAUCUAAUUCAAACCUGCCUCAAGGCAAGUCUGGCAGGCAUGACAGGAUAAAUGACUGCUACCAAGCUGGGACUGCCUACUUUGCCAGCUGUGCCAGUUAGGUGCGAAUGUAUAUUUUCAGUGUAGUGAUGGGUUGGUCAUGGAAUGUGCUCUGCAGAUGAGGGAAGACUGGGAAGAGAAGACAGAAAGGGAGAAGGGGUGCACAGAGCCCCCACAGAAAAAAAAUGGGAGUCAUUUUAAAGUCGACUACCUAGCAGAGUGAUUUGAUAAAAGCCAUAGGGGACGUCCCAUUGCUGUUAUGUGAAUAGUUUCCUUUCUCGGAUGCUCUCAGGACAGUUAAACUCUCACUAAACAAGCACUUCUGGCUGUACUGUAGCCGUUUAACUGUGCGGGGUGAAAGCCACGUCCCUGAGGUAGCUCCGAAGAGGCCUGUGAGUCAGGCCUGGCUGCAAGGGGCUAGUCGCGGGGGUGUGCUGGGCUGGGAUCACCGCCCUGAAGGGCCGAACUGUGGCUGUCGCAAGAGCGCUUGGACCCUGCAGUCUAAGGGGGCUGCAUGGGGGCUGGCAGCUGUUAGAUCACCGCCUGGGCUGCUACUGAACACUCUGUAGCCCCGGGGCUUCCGGUGCGAGCGCUGGCUUCUCGUCCGCGUACCCCCACGUCUGGGAAAACAACAGGCGGGAGGCGGCGUUUCCGCGGCUUGUCCACCGGUUGAGGCCGAGCCGUCCUGAACAGCGAUUGUAACUUCUUUUCCCGACUCUCACCGCCGCACUGAUUUCUGGAGGUGGCCGUGUCCCUUCCGCUCCCGGCACCCCUGCAGCCAAGCUCUCUCGGCUCUCCUGGCUUUUCCUUCGCGGCCGCCUAGAGUUUCCUUCCUCUGCUCCCGUUUGUGGGGCAGCCCGCCCCUGCGGGCUUUUUCUUCCGGCCAUUGCCCCACGAUCCCCCCCGCCUCCUCCCCGAGCACGCACGUCCCCGAGCCGGAGAGGGCCGAUCCCCUGUGGAUUUUGUUCACAACUCCGCCUCGGCCUUUCUCUCGCCUCCCCCUUCUUCCCCCGGCCAGUCCCCUCCCUAACCCUCUUCCAUCCUCUACAUUAGAUGGGAGUCCCCUCCCUCAGUCGCGUUCAUUUCAUACCAACUCUCAUUCCACGCGUUCCUCGUUUACUCCUUUAAAACUCCAGGGAAAAUAAAAACCCUCUCUUUUCUUCCCAAAUUCUGGCGGAACGCUGCCUCCCCCCGCCGCCGUGCAGUCUCGCCGUCCGGCCCGCCGCUCCGUACUCUUCAGACCUUUACCAUGCAUGAGAGCUGCUGUUACUUCAGCACUUCUGGCCUGAUAUUAAGGACCUCUUUGCAGAGAGGACAGAAAACAGAUGCGAAACACAUUUCCUUCUCCCUUUUAAAUAAAAGACUUCUGCUGAAAGCUGGAGCUCUAGAGUACUCAACUAAGAACAGACAUCUAGCCUGGGAACAUUGUGCCCUGUGACACCAGAAGAAAAUAGAAGAGAGAAAAUCUGUAAAGGCUACAGCCUUUACUAAGAAGAAACACACUAGAAGUUUUUGUCUUACCUAUUACUGCCCUGUUAAUAAAGUCCAUGGAAGUUUUCUGAAAAUA